CCUGAGCAACACAACGAGACCCCUUCUCUACAAAAAAUUAAAAAUUUAGCCAGGUGUGGUAGUGGCACACAUCUGUAUUCCCAGCUACUCAGGAGGCUGAGGCAGAGGGUCACUUGAGCUGGGAGUUCAAGGCUGCACUGAGCUAUGAUCGUGCCACUGCACUCUAGCCUGGGCAACAGAGCAAGACCUCAUCUCAAAAAAAAAGAAAGAAAAAAUAUAUAGUUUAAAAUGAGUUCCAGCUAUCUUUAAACUAUGCCCCACUUAUCACUGGUCUGAAUAAAGAAGGAGAAACAGAACUUCCCUGUGCCAGAAUGCAGUCAGGUCUAUUUCACAGCCAGCUCCUACUGACUUUAAGAAAGCUCAGCUUAUGCCAUCAGAGUGGAAUUCCUUGGCCCAGGGCCUCCAGCAGAAGCCCCCUGAGAGGACACCCUGACCCUCCAGCCCAUCCCAUCUCCUGACCUUCUCUGUCAUUGCUAUCUUGCCAGUCACCCCUCCGGCCCCCACUUCACCCAAGAUCUUCCCUGUGGGAAUGAACUGAAACAUCGAGAUUUUUCUGUGGUGAUCGAACUGGAGGACUCUAACUUUCACUUACAAGAUCUAUUCAUGUUUGCAACAACAUGUCAUGAUGGGUGGAGAAUACUAAUACCAAAGGACUGAGUCUCUUUAAAUAUGACCAACUGACUUAGCAGGCAGCUGGUGCCUUGGUUCCUUUCUAUCCCUCACACUUAAGAUAACUUGCCAAGACACUGAGGGAUAUUUUGAACCUUUCAGGCCUAAAAGCUGUGAUUUGGAUGGAAUCAAUAAAAUGGCAAGAGCUAUCUCCAACUUUGCCACCUGAGAAACACAAGUCCAAGUCCAAUACUUACAGAAGAAAUAACCAUUCCACCUAGUCAAGGAACUAGCCAACACUUAACAGAGGAUUGCCCUUGGUUAUAGAGCUAACUGCAAAUGAAGUAACUAGAGGAAGACCAUUUACCUUCUCCAUUGAAGAGACCAUUCAAGAGCCAACUCAGCAACCAGGUUCUAGCAGUGUUACUGACCGGAUGACUGGCACUUAGAGUCCAGCACCCUGCUGAGAAACCAGCAACCCAUGUGAGGAUUCCAUGGCCGACUAAGAUCACAAGACUCUUGAACAGAAGAAAUGCCAGGAGAGCUAGAAUCUUACAGAUGGUGGUAUUAAUAAUGGAGCAAACUAGAACCAAUGACAAAGACAUGAAGUCUGAAAAUAACACAGAGAAUAUAAAUAUUAUGAGAUAAAUGUUCCCCCUCCAAUUCUCCUUAUUUGCCAAAUAUUUUCAUUUCCUUUUGUCAUUAUAGAAAAUAGAACCAUGCAUCACAGUCAAAAGUGCUCCACUAGCAACGUUGUAUGAUUCACUCUUUUUGUCAUACAUGUCUUUAGUAAUUGAUGGAUAUUAAAAUCACACAGAAUAUUUAAUAA
Gorilla gorilla gorilla (western lowland gorilla) is the source of this 1438-nucleotide long non-coding RNA. RefSeq lists it as uncharacterized. Lineage: Eukaryota; Metazoa; Chordata; Mammalia; Primates; Hominidae. The record is from RefSeq and is a predicted model, not a curated record. The transcript is spliced from 3 exons.